This 517-nucleotide ribosomal RNA is filed under the name uncultured Staphylococcus sp. RNAcentral's name for it is "bacterial SSU rRNA". It matches the Rfam family "Bacterial small subunit ribosomal RNA", at positions 8 to 507 of the family's 1533-position model. Lineage: Bacteria; Bacillati; Bacillota; Bacilli; Caryophanales; Staphylococcaceae. The record is from RNAcentral.
AGAGUUUGAUCCUGGCUCAGGAUGAACGCUGGCGGCGUGCCUAAUACAUGCAAGUCGAGCGAACAGAUAAGGAGCUUGCUCCUUUGAAGUUAGCGGCGGACGGGUGAGUAACACGUGGGUAACCUACCUAUAAGACUGGGAUAACUUCGGGAAACCGGAGCUAAUACCGGAUAACAUUUAGAACCGCAUGGUUCUAAAGUGAAAGAUGGUUUUGCUAUCACUUAUAGAUGGACCCGCGCCGUAUUAGCUAGUUGGUAAGGUAACGGCUUACCAAGGCGACGAUACGUAGCCGACCUGAGAGGGUGAUCGGCCACACUGGAACUGAGACACGGUCCAGACUCCUACGGGAGGCAGCAGUAGGGAAUCUUCCGCAAUGGGCGAAAGCCUGACGGAGCAACGCCGCGUGAGUGAUGAAGGGUUUCGGCUCGUAAAACUCUGUUAUUAGGGAAGAACAAAUGUGUAAGUAACUGUGCACAUCCUGACGGUACCUAAUCAGAAAGCCACGGCUAACUACGUG